RNAcentral lists this ribosomal RNA (278 nucleotides) under uncultured Bacillota bacterium. RNAcentral describes it as "uncultured Firmicutes bacterium partial 16S ribosomal RNA". It matches the Rfam family "Bacterial small subunit ribosomal RNA", at positions 470 to 747 of the family's 1533-position model. Lineage: Bacteria; Bacillati; Bacillota. The record is from RNAcentral.
UGACGGUACCCCAAGAGAAAGCUCCGGCUAAUUAUGUGCCAGCAGCCGCGGUAAUACAUAAGGAGCAAGCGUUAUCCGGAAUUAUUGGGCGUAAAGAGCUCGUAGGCGGUCUUAAAAGUCAGGUGUGAAAUCAUCAGGCUCAACCUGAUAAGGUCAUCUGAAACUUUAAGACUUGAGGAUAGAAGAGGAAAGUGGAAUUCCCGGUGUAGCGGUGAAAUGCGUAGAUAUCGGGAGGAAUACCAGUGGCGAAGGCGGCUUUCUGGUCUAUUUCUGACGCU